This is a long non-coding RNA of Arabidopsis lyrata subsp. lyrata, 1793 nucleotides long. RefSeq lists it as uncharacterized. The record is from RefSeq and is a predicted model, not a curated record. The transcript has 5 exons. NCBI's taxonomy places the organism in Eukaryota, Viridiplantae, Streptophyta, Magnoliopsida, Brassicales, Brassicaceae.
AAACAUUCUUCCUCUUCAUACAUACCGUCUAAUCAUGGCCACAACGACGAAGAUCUUCGGAUUCGUGCUGCUGGUGAUAACAACCUUCAUGGCUCUCUCGGUUUCCUGUUCUUCGGCAACGGUAUACAAAGUUGGAGACUCGGAUGGAUGGACUACCAAGGACGAAACCUAUAAUUAUUUUUGGGUUGAGGAUAAAGAGUUCCACGUGGGAGAUUCUUUGGUGUUCGAAUACGAUCCCCUAUUCAACGACGUAACUCAAGUCUCUGGUGCCUUGGUGUUGCAUUUUCAGGUUCUUCCUCUAUUUAACCUUUAGAGGUUCACCAUCUCUCACACUCUCUUUAGUAUCUCUCUGUUUCUUUUGUUGUUGAAACAAAGAUUACCUUGUUCUCUCUUUACUCUCUUUGAUUGUUACACAAACGUUUAGUAAGAGAGAAGAGAGAAACCAUUAAUUGUCUACAUCUUGUUUAUUGGAUCAAAGGAUACUUUUCUUACAAGACACACACACAUAGAUAUAGUGGUUUUUCUACUGACCACACACAUUUGCAACCAUACUUCUACUUAGACCUAGACCUUACUUCUAGACAUCAUUACCUAAGCUUAUAACCAAGCUCACAAGCAAGGUUAACCAACAACUCUUACACAACACAACUCUAGUCUUUAGCUAGCAGUUUAACUAACAAAACACACUUCCUUUAAUUUGGGCCUUAACCAAAAACGUAGCCCAUUAGUCUUCUUAGGACCAAACCACACAAAGCCCAACACCUUUCUUCUUGUUGACUUUGCUCCUUCUUCUCUAUGUGUCGUUGACCUUGUCACGACUUCUUCUUCUUCUUCCUUUGCCUUUGCUCUAUGAGCACUUCUUCUUCUCGCUGAAGCUUCUUCUUCUUCUGCAGGUUUAAUCAAAGGUUCAAUUCCAACACUCCCUCUUGAACCCUUUGAUUAAAACCCCAAUUUCAAUUUAGGGAUUUUAAUCCCAUUGCUCCUUGCUUUUUCUUCAUCAUCUUCCUCUUGCUUCGAUUCUUCUUAAUCGAGCUUCUUUCUAUAUCUGUGGUUCUUAGCUUCUCCGACGACAGCUAGAGGUCACAACUCUCACCGAUCACCAGUCACUUCCGCCGUCUUCAACCACCACUUCCGAAAGACUUCAGCUCUUCCGCUUCAUGUCUCCUCCAAGUUUUCUCCGUGAGCUCUUCUCACGUCUCUUGCUCGGCUGACGUUGCAACCGGCUUCAGCUCCCACUGUGGUUUUGAUCCACUCAGAUUUCAACCCUAGUCACUGAUUGGAGCUUCUUAACACCAGUGCUGCCACCUUAAUUGCUUCCUCUUUGACGCAAGGCUUCACUGCCUACAUUUCAUCUUAGAGGUUGCAACCAAGCUUGCAUUGGUGCCGUUUUUUCUUGUUCUACUUCAGCCACAGAAUUCUCCCUCUCGGUUUUGCACUUCACAGAUGGCUGCAGCAACUCUUCAUUUGUCUUGAGCUCAGGUCCACUCAAGAACUUUUUGCCUAUGAGCUCAGGUCCGCUCAAGGCUUCUCUUCCAGAGGCUCCAAGGAUAACUACAGCUCUGAUACCAUGUUGCAUUUUCAGGUUCUUCCUCUAUUUAACCUUUAGAGGUUCACCAUCUCUCACACUCUCUUUAGUAUCUCUCUGUUUCUUUUGUUGUUGAAACAGAGAUUACCUUGUUCUCUCUUUACUCUCUUUGAUUGUUACACAAACGUUUAGUAAGAGAGAAGAGAGAAACAAUUAAUUGUCUACAUCUUGUUUAUUGGAUCAAAGGAUACUUUUCUUACAAGAUACA